UGGGGGAUAUUGCACAAUGGGCGAAAGCCUGAUGCAGCGACGCCGCGUGGGGGAUGAAGGCCUUCGGGUUGUAAACUUCUUUUGCUCUGAACAAGGCAUGCUAAUGGGUGUGUUGAGUGUAGGGGUUGAUUAGCGCCGGCUAACUACGUGCCAGCAGCCGCGGUAAUACGUAGGGCGCGAGCGUUGUCCGGAAUUAUUGGGCGUAAAGGGCUUGUAGGUGGCUGGUUGCGUCUGUCGUGAAAGCUCAUGGCUUAACUGUGGGGUUGCGGUGGGUACGGGCUGGCUUGAGUGCAGUAGGGGAGGCUGGAAUUCCUGGUGUAGCGGUGGAAUGCGCAGAUAUCAGGAGGAAUACCGGUGGCGAAGGCGGGUCUCUGGGCUGUUACUGACACUGAGGAGCGAAAGCAUGGGGAGCGAACAGG
RNAcentral lists this ribosomal RNA (419 nucleotides) under bacterium. RNAcentral describes it as "partial 16S ribosomal RNA". It matches the Rfam family "Bacterial small subunit ribosomal RNA", at positions 355 to 776 of the family's 1533-position model. The record is from RNAcentral.